This 1125-nucleotide ribosomal RNA is filed under the name Pseudoalteromonas sp. A26a-5. RNAcentral's name for it is "bacterial SSU rRNA". It matches the Rfam family "Bacterial small subunit ribosomal RNA", at positions 1 to 1129 of the family's 1533-position model. The record is from RNAcentral. Lineage: Bacteria; Pseudomonadati; Pseudomonadota; Gammaproteobacteria; Alteromonadales; Pseudoalteromonadaceae.
UAGAGUUUUGAUCAUGGCUCAGAUUGAACGCUGGCGGCAGGCCUAACACAUGCAAGUCGAGCGGUAACAUUUCUAGCUUGCUAGAAGAUGACGAGCGGCGGACGGGUGAGUAAUGCUUGGGAACAUGCCUUUAGGUGGGGGACAACAGUUGGAAACGACUGCUAAUACCGCAUAAUGUCUACGGACCAAAGGGGGCUUCGGCUCUCGCCUUUAGAUUGGCCCAAGUGGGAUUAGCUAGUUGGUGAGGUAACGGCUCACCAAGGCGACGAUCCCUAGCUGGUUUGAGAGGAUGAUCAGCCACACUGGAACUGAGACACGGUCCAGACUCCUACGGGAGGCAGCAGUGGGGAAUAUUGCACAAUGGGCGCAAGCCUGAUGCAGCCAUGCCGCGUGUGUGAAGAAGGCCUUCGGGUUGUAAAGCACUUUCAGUAAGGAGGAAAGGUUGGUGGUUAAUACCCAUCAGCUGUGACGUUACUUACAGAAGAAGCACCGGCUAACUCCGUGCCAGCAGCCGCGGUAAUACGGAGGGUGCGAGCGUUAAUCGGAAUUACUGGGCGUAAAGCGUACGCAGGCGGUUGAUUAAGCGAGAUGUGAAAGCCCCGGGCUCAACCUGGGAACUGCAUUUCGAACUGGUCAACUAGAGUGUGAUAGAGGGUGGUAGAAUUUCAGGUGUAGCGGUGAAAUGCGUAGAGAUCUGAAGGAAUACCGAUGGCGAAGGCAGCCACCUGGGUCAACACUGACGCUCAUGUACGAAAGCGUGGGGAGCAAACAGGAUUAGAUACCCUGGUAGUCCACGCCGUAAACGAUGUCUACUAGAAGCUGGGGUCCUCGGACAACUUUUUCAAAGCUAACGCAUUAAGUAGACCGCCUGGGGAGUACGGCCGCAAGGUUAAAACUCAAAUGAAUUGACGGGGGCCCGCACAAGCGGUGGAGCAUGUGGUUUAAUUCGAUGCAACGCGAAGAACCUUACCUACACUUGACAUCCAGAGAAAUCGCUAGAGAUAGCUUUGUGCCUUCGGGAACUCUGAGACAGGUGCUGCAUGGCUGUCGUCAGCUCGUGUUGUGAGAUGUUGGGUUAAGUCCCGCAAAAAGCGCAACCCCUAUCCUUAGUUGCCAGCAAGACAU